GCUCGACCCACCCUGAUGGUGCUGCCCCCCUCCAGAGAGGAGCUACAGCAGGGGAAGGCCACGCUCAUGUGCCUGGCCAACAAGGGCUUCCCCUCAGACUGGAGUCUGUCCUGGAAGGUGGACGGCAGCAGCAGCAGCAGCUGGGAGGAGGGCAGGAGCCCCGGGAUGCUGCAGGAGGACGGCCUCUACAGCUGGAGCAGCACCCUGAGGCUCCCUGCAGACCAGUGGGAGAAGGUGUGCUCUGUGACCUGUGAGGCCACCCAGGGCUCCCACACUCCUCUCUCACAGACACUGAGGAGAGACCAGUGUUCCCAGUCCUGAGCUGACUCGCUGGUUUUCCUCUGCAGGUGUCUCUCUCUUUCUGUCACUCGUC
This is a non-coding RNA of Oreochromis niloticus (Nile tilapia), 373 nucleotides long. NCBI's taxonomy places the organism in Eukaryota, Metazoa, Chordata, Actinopteri, Cichliformes, Cichlidae. The record is from the annotation of a RefSeq genome assembly.